Molecule: small nuclear RNA, 147 nt
Organism: Pipistrellus kuhlii (Kuhl's pipistrelle)
Lineage: Eukaryota; Metazoa; Chordata; Mammalia; Chiroptera; Vespertilionidae
Product: U4 spliceosomal RNA
Exons: 1
Source: RefSeq, a predicted model, not a curated record
AGCUUUGCGCAGUGGCAGUAUCAUAGCCAAUGAGGUUUAUCCGAGGCAUGAUUAUUACCCAUUGAAAAAAAAUUGUAUUGUUUUCUUCUUUCUAUGUCCAUGAGGGUUUACAUCUUAAAAGAAAAUAUUUUAUUAUCAUUUUAUUGU